This 72-nucleotide transfer RNA is filed under the name Octopus vulgaris (common octopus). It matches the Rfam family "tRNA". From Rfam's summary of the family: Transfer RNA (tRNA) molecules are approximately 80 nucleotides in length. Their secondary structure includes four short double-helical elements and three loops (D, anti-codon, and T loops). Further hydrogen bonds mediate the characteristic L-shaped molecular structure. tRNAs have two regions of fundamental functional importance: the anti-codon, which is responsible for specific mRNA codon recognition, and the 3' end, to which the tRNAs corresponding amino acid is attached (by aminoacyl-tRNA synthetases). tRNAs cope with the degeneracy of the genetic code in two manners: having more than one tRNA (with a specific anti-codon) for a particular amino acid; and 'wobble' base-pairing, i.e. permitting non-standard base-pairing at the 3rd anti-codon position. The record is from Rfam by way of RNAcentral. RNAcentral also lists the same sequence under 1 other name. Lineage: Eukaryota; Metazoa; Mollusca; Cephalopoda; Octopoda; Octopodidae.
GGCACGUUGGUCUAGAGGAAUGAUUUUCGCUUUGGGUGCGAGAGGUCCCGGGUUCGAAUCCCGGACGUGCCC